AUUGAACGCUGGCGGAAUGCUUUACACAUGCAAGUCGAACGAUGAACCUUAGCUUGCUAAGGGGAUUAGUGGCGAACGGGUGAGUAAUGUAUCGGAACGUAUCCAAUAAUGGGGGAUAGCUAGUCGAAAGAUUAGCUAAUACCGCAUACGUCCUACGGGAGAAAGCUAGGGACCUUCGGGCCUGGCGUUAAUGGAGCGGCCGAUAUCUGAUUAGCUAGUUGGUGGGGUAAAGGCUCACCAAGGCGACGAUCAGUAGCUGGUCUGAGAGGACGACCAGCCACACUGGAACUGAGACACGGUCCAGACUCCUACGGGAGGCAGCAGUGGGGAAUUUUGGACAAUGGGCGAAAGCCUGAUCCAGCCAUUCCGCGUGAGCGAAGAAGGCCUUCGGGUUGUAAAGCUCUUUCGCAAGAGAAGAAAACUUAAGCUCUAACAUAGCUUGAGGUUGACGGUACCUUGAUAAGAAGCACCGGCUAACUACGUGCCAGCCGCCGCCGUAA
This 500-nucleotide ribosomal RNA is filed under the name uncultured bacterium. RNAcentral describes it as "partial 16S ribosomal RNA". It matches the Rfam family "Bacterial small subunit ribosomal RNA", at positions 30 to 523 of the family's 1533-position model. The record is from RNAcentral.